AGUGAGCGCUGGCGGUAGGCCUAACACAUGCAAGUCGAACGGCAGCACAGUAAGAGCUUGCUCUUACGGGUGGCGAGUGGCGGACGGGUGAGGAAUACAUCGGAAUCUACUUUUUCGUGGGGGAUAACGUAGGGAAACUUACGCUAAUACCGCAUACGACCUACGGGUGAAAGCAGGGGAUCUUCGGACCUUGCGCGAUUGAAUGGGCCGAUGUCGGAUUAGCUAGUUGGCGGGGUAAAGGCCCACCAAGGCGACGAUCCGUAGCUGGUCUGAGAGGAUGAUCAGCCACACUGGAACUGAGACACGGUCCAGACUCCUACGGGAGGCAGCAGUGGGGAAUAUUGGACAAUGGGCGCAAGCCUGAUCCAGCCAUACCGCGUGGGUGAAGAAGGCCUUCGGGUUGUAAAGCCCUUUUGUUGGGAAAGAAAAGCAGCAGGUUAAUACCCCGCUGUUCUGACGGUACCCAAAGAAUAAGCACCGGCUAACUUCGUG
RNAcentral lists this ribosomal RNA (492 nucleotides) under uncultured bacterium. RNAcentral's name for it is "partial 16S ribosomal RNA". It matches the Rfam family "Bacterial small subunit ribosomal RNA", at positions 29 to 507 of the family's 1533-position model. The record is from RNAcentral.